This 552-nucleotide ribosomal RNA is filed under the name Triticum aestivum (bread wheat). RNAcentral describes it as "partial small subunit ribosomal RNA". Lineage: Eukaryota; Viridiplantae; Streptophyta; Magnoliopsida; Poales; Poaceae. The record is from RNAcentral.
AUGAUGAUAAAAUUGGGAUUUGAUAUUUCUUGGGUGGAGAUGGUUAUGGCAUGUGUUACCUCGGUUAACUACAGGGUUUGGUUCAAUUCGGAUGAGACAAAAAGUUUUACCCCUACGAGGGGGCUCAGGCAAGGGGAUCCCCUAUCCCCAUACCUUUUCUUAAUUUGUGCUGAAGGGUUAUCCAGUCUACUAGCGCAUGAAGAGGCGGUCGGUGGUAUCCAAGGAAUUAGGGUGUGCCGUAGUGCACCAUCAGUUUCACACUUGCUUUUUGCUAAUGAUUCUCUAAUCCUGAUGAAGGCGGAUACAUUGAAUGCCACGUCCCUCAAAAGUGCUCUAGAUAUGUACUGUGCUAGCUCAGGACAACUUGUAAGUGAUGCAAAAUCUAGUGUUUUUUCAGUCCGAACACUCCAGUGGAGGUACGAGCAGAUAUUUGCACACAACUUAAUAUUGUUUCAGAGGCUAUUUCUGACAAGUAUUUGGGACUACCGUCGAAGAUUGGUAUCGACUGUAGUGACUGUUUCCAACAUUUGGUUGAUAAGGUGUGUGCGCUGA